GAUGAACGCUGGCGGCGUGCUUAACACAUGCAAGUCGAACGAAGCAUCUUGAUUCGAUUCUUCGGAUGAAGAUCUUGGUGACUGAGUGGCGGACGGGUGAGUAACGCGUGGGUAACCUGCCUCAUACAGGGGGAUAACAGUUAGAAAUGACUGCUAAUACCGCAUAAGACCACGGCACCGCAUGGUGCAGGGGUAAAAACUCCGGUGGUAUGAGAUGGACCCGCGUCUGAUUAGGUAGUUGGUGGGGUAACGGCCUACCAAGCCGACGAUCAGUAGCCGACCUGAGAGGGUGACCGGCCACAUUGGGAAUGAGACACGGCCCAAACUCCUACGGGAGGCAGCAGUGGGGAAUAUUGCACAAUGGGGGAAACCCUGAUGCAGCGACGCCGCGUGAGCGAUGAAGUAUUUCGGUAUGUAAAGCUCUAUCAGCAGGGAAGAAAAUGACGGUACCUGACUAAGAAGCACCGGCUAAAUACGUG
RNAcentral lists this ribosomal RNA (479 nucleotides) under uncultured bacterium. Its description in RNAcentral is "partial 16S ribosomal RNA". It matches the Rfam family "Bacterial small subunit ribosomal RNA", at positions 28 to 507 of the family's 1533-position model. The record is from RNAcentral.